ACGCUCGACACCUACGGGGGCAGCAGUGAGGAAUAUUGGUCAAUGGGCGCUAGCCUGAACCAGCCAAGUAGCGUGAAGGAUGAAGGCUCUAUGGGUCGUAAACUUCUUUUAUAUAAGAAUAAAGUGCAGUAUGUAUACUGUUUUGUAUGUAUUAUAUGAAUAAGGAUCGGCUAACUCCGUGCCAGCAGCAGCGGUAAUCUGAGCGGGCUGGCAAGGC
RNAcentral lists this ribosomal RNA (217 nucleotides) under uncultured bacterium. Its description in RNAcentral is "partial 16S ribosomal RNA". It matches the Rfam family "Bacterial small subunit ribosomal RNA", at positions 328 to 539 of the family's 1533-position model. The record is from RNAcentral.